Molecule: ribosomal RNA, 253 nt
Filed under: uncultured bacterium
Lineage: Bacteria
Description: partial 16S ribosomal RNA
Rfam family: Bacterial small subunit ribosomal RNA
Source: RNAcentral
UACGGAGGGUGCAAGCGUUAAUCGGAAUUACUGGGCGUAAAGCGUGCGCAGGCGGUUUGUUAAGUCCGUUGUGAAAGCCCCGAGCUCAACUUGGGAAUUGCAGUGGAUACUGGCAGGCUGGAGUACGGUAGAGGAAGGUGGAAUUCCCGGUGUAGCAGUGAAAUGCGUAGAUAUCGGGAGGAACACCAGUGGCGAAGGCGGCCUUCUGGACCAGUACUGACGCUCAUGCACGGAAGCGUGGGGAGCAAACAGG